GAUCAUGGCUCAGGAUGAACGCUGGCGGCGUGCUUAACACAUGCAAGUCGAACGGAGUUUUAAACAGAAGUUUUCGGAUGGAAGUUUAGAAACUUAGUGGCGGACGGGUGAGUAACGCGUGGGUAACCUGCCUCAUACAGGGGGAUAACAGUUAGAAAUGACUGCUAACACCGCAUAAUAUAGCGAAACCGCAUGAUUUUUGCUAUCAAAUAUUUAUAGGUAUGAGAUGGGCCCGCGUCUGAUUAGCUAGUUGGUGGGUAAAGGCCUACCAAGGCGACGAUCAGUAGCCGGCUUGAGAGAGUGACCGGCCACAUGGGACUGAGACACGGCCCAAACUCCUACGGGAGGCAGCAGUGGGGAAUAUUGGACAAUGGGGGAAACCCUGAUCCAGCCGACGCCGCGUGAGUGAAGAAGUAUUUCGGUAUGUAAAGCUCUAUCAGCAGGGAAGAUAAUGACAGUACCUGACUAAGAAGCCCCGGCUAACUACGUGCCAGCCGCCGC
This 501-nucleotide ribosomal RNA is filed under the name uncultured bacterium. RNAcentral's name for it is "bacterial SSU rRNA". It matches the Rfam family "Bacterial small subunit ribosomal RNA", at positions 15 to 518 of the family's 1533-position model. The record is from RNAcentral.